This 252-nucleotide ribosomal RNA is filed under the name uncultured bacterium. Its description in RNAcentral is "partial 16S ribosomal RNA". It matches the Rfam family "Bacterial small subunit ribosomal RNA", at positions 524 to 776 of the family's 1533-position model. The record is from RNAcentral.
UACAGAGGUCCCAAGCGUUGUUCGGAUUUACUGGGCGUAAAGGGUGCGUAGGUGGCGGGGUAAGUCUGGUGUGAAAGCUCCGAGCUCAACUCGGAAAAGCAUCGGAAACUAUCUCGCUGGAGGGUCGGAGGGGAGACUGGAAUUCUCGGUGUAGCAGUGAAAUGCGUAGAUAUCGAGAGGAACACCAGUGGCGAAGGCGAGUCUCUGGACGACUCCUGACACUGAGGCACGAAAGCUAGGGGAGCAAACAGG